This is a small nucleolar RNA of Erinaceus europaeus (western European hedgehog), 120 nucleotides long. The record is from Ensembl. NCBI's taxonomy places the organism in Eukaryota, Metazoa, Chordata, Mammalia, Eulipotyphla, Erinaceidae.
ACUGAGGCUAGAGUCUUGCUCGCAUUGCCCUGGUGUGCUGAAGUCCUCGGAGAGCAGCCCCUGGCCUUAUUCACUGGCUGUGGCCCCAUGGCCGAGCCAGUCACCAGGCCAAGGACAGGG